This 383-nucleotide ribosomal RNA is filed under the name uncultured eukaryote. RNAcentral describes it as "partial 18S ribosomal RNA". It matches the Rfam family "Eukaryotic small subunit ribosomal RNA", at positions 592 to 976 of the family's 1831-position model. The record is from RNAcentral.
CAAUAGCGUAUAUUAAAGUUGUUGCAGUUAAAAAGCUCGUAGUUGGAUUUGUGGUGUGUCCAGUCGGCCUUUGCUCUCUGAGUGAUUGUGCUGUACUGGUCUGCCAUGUUUGGGUGGAAUCUGUGUGGCAUUAAGUUGUCGUGCAGGGGAUGCCCAUCGUUUACUGUGAAAAAAUUAGAGUGUUCAAAGCAGGCUUAUGCCGUUGAAUAUAUUAGCAUGGAAUAAUGAUAUAGGACCUUGGUACUAUUUUGUUGGUUUGCGCACUAAGGUAAUGAUUAAGAGGGACAGUUGGGGGUAUUUGUAUUCCAUUGUCAGAGGUGAAAUUCUUAGAUUUUUGGAAGACAAACUACUGCGAAAGCAUUUACCGAGGAUGUUUUCAUUAA